UGAGCAACCUGCCCUUAGCUCUGGGAUAACCCCGGGAAACCGGGGCUAAUACCGGAUACGAGUCCGAGCGGCAUCACGCGGACUGGAAAGUUUUUCGGCUAAGGAUGGGCUCGCGGCCUAUCAGCUUGUUGGUGGGUAAUGGCCUACCAAGGCGACGACGGGUAGCCGGCCUGAGAGGGCGACCGGCCACACUGGGACUGAGACACGGCCCAGACUCCUACGGGAGGCA
This 229-nucleotide ribosomal RNA is filed under the name uncultured bacterium. RNAcentral describes it as "partial 16S ribosomal RNA". It matches the Rfam family "Bacterial small subunit ribosomal RNA", at positions 118 to 350 of the family's 1533-position model. The record is from RNAcentral.